CCUACGGGCGGCAGCAGUGGGGAAUAUUGGACAAUGGGGGGAACCCUGAUCCAGCCAUGCCGCGUGUGUGAAGAAGGCCCUCGGGUUGUAAAGCACUUUCAGUGAGGAAGAACGCCUGGUGGUUAAUACCCAUCAGGAAAGACAUCACUCACAGAAGAAGCACCGGCUAACUCCGUGCCAGCAGCCGCGGUAAUACGGAGGGUGCGAGCGUUAAUCGGAAUUACUGGGCGUAAAGCGCGCGUAGGUGGCUUGAUAAGCCGGUUGUGAAAGCCCCGGGCUCAACCUGGGAACGGCAUCCGGAACUGUCAAGCUAGAGUGCAGGAGAGGAAGGUAGAAUUCCCGGUGUAGCGGUGAAAUGCGUAGAGAGCGCGAGGAAUACCAGUGGCGAAGGCGGCCUUCUGGACUGACACUGACACUGAGGUGCGAAAGCGUGGGUAGCAAACAGGAUUAGCUACCCUGGUAGUC
RNAcentral lists this ribosomal RNA (465 nucleotides) under Vreelandella stevensii. RNAcentral describes it as "partial 16S ribosomal RNA". It matches the Rfam family "Bacterial small subunit ribosomal RNA", at positions 338 to 795 of the family's 1533-position model. Lineage: Bacteria; Pseudomonadati; Pseudomonadota; Gammaproteobacteria; Oceanospirillales; Halomonadaceae. The record is from RNAcentral.